GAUGAACGCUGGCGGCGUGCCUAAUACAUGCAAGUCGAGCGAACAGACGAGGAGCUUGCUCCUCUGACGUUAGCGGCGGACGGGUGAGUAACACGUGGAUAACCUACCUAUAAGACUGGGAUAACUUCGGGAAACCGGAGCUAAUACCGGAUAAUAUAUUGAACCGCAUGGUUCAAUAGUGAAAGACGGCUUUGCUGUCACUUAUAGAUGGAUCCGCGCCGCAUUAGCUAGUUGGUAAGGUCACGGCUUACCAAGGCAACGAUGCGUAGCCGACCUGAGAGGAUGAGCGGCCGCACUGGAACUGAGACACGGUCCAGAGUCCUACGGGAGGCAGCAGGAGGGAAUCUUGCGCAAUGGGCGAAAGCCUUACGGAGCAACGCCGCGUGAGUGAGGAAGGUCUUCGGAUCGUAAAACUCUGUUAUUAGGGAAGAACAAGUGUGUAAGUAACUAUGCACGUCUUGACGGUACCUAAUCAGAAAGCCACGGCUAACUUCGUG
This 497-nucleotide ribosomal RNA is filed under the name uncultured bacterium. RNAcentral describes it as "partial 16S ribosomal RNA". It matches the Rfam family "Bacterial small subunit ribosomal RNA", at positions 28 to 507 of the family's 1533-position model. The record is from RNAcentral.